RNAcentral lists this ribosomal RNA (253 nucleotides) under uncultured bacterium. RNAcentral's name for it is "partial 16S ribosomal RNA". It matches the Rfam family "Bacterial small subunit ribosomal RNA", at positions 524 to 776 of the family's 1533-position model. The record is from RNAcentral.
UACGUAGGGGGCUAGCGUUGUCCGGAAUCAUUGGGCGUAAAGAGCGUGUAGGCGGUCCGGUAAGUCCGCUGUGAAAGUCGGGGGCUCAACCCUCGAAUGCCGGUGGAUACUGUCGGGCUAGAGUGCGGAAGAGGCGAGUGGAAUUGGCAGUGUAGCAGUGAAAUGCGUAGAGAUUGCCAGGAACACCAAUGGCGAAGGCAGCUUGCUGGGCUUUUUCUGACACUGAGGGACGAAAGCGUGGGGAGCGAACAGG